Molecule: long non-coding RNA, 574 nt
Organism: Topomyia yanbarensis
Lineage: Eukaryota; Metazoa; Arthropoda; Insecta; Diptera; Culicidae
Exons: 3
Source: RefSeq, a predicted model, not a curated record
AAUCUGCACUAAUUUCUAAUUGAUUUUAAAAAUAGCCCCGGAACAAUCGUGUGCUAGUGGGUAUGUGAUAAUAAAUUUGAUUUCAUAUCCGUAUCGGAUCCAAUGCUUGUGAUAUCGCGAACAUCAUUGAUAAGUUGGCCGGAAGAUUGCACGGAAUUUGCACACGUGUGAUGCUGCUCAGGAGAGAAAAAUACCAGUAUACGGAUCGUCCCGUUUAAAAAGCCUCUGGAAGCUCAUUCGGGGACAUUGGCACAUAUCCGGAAGAUGUUACCAUGGGGUGUUGAACGUGAUCAUGGCAUUCGGUAAUUUAUUUAUUUUCGUGACACUUAUUCAGGACUUUUUUUUGGUAGAAUUGUUUACACCUGAUCUCCAUGGUAGUCCACCCUGGACACUAAUCCAGACUGCCCAGAAACCAGUGUCAUGCAAACUCGUUCGAGUCCAAAUGCUUUCCGAGUUUCAAAGUUUUGCGAUCGUCUAAAUAUUUCAAAUUAAUGCACAAACCGUCGUCUUUUUAUAUCCUUGCAUUAUGGAAAUUGUACAAAACUCGGAAGGAUACGACCAGCACCGAGCUAUA